GUCCGCCCCCACCACCUUCCCCAAAGUUAUUGGGAGAUCCUUGGAGACAAAUAUCGUGGGAAAACAAUGAGAAAGAUCUGAAGUACGUGAGGGACUAUCAACCACAAAAUGAUCAAAUCAGUCAUCUCAGAAUUUUGCUCUACGGACCAGUCGGUGCUGGAAAGUCCAGCCUCAUCAACUCUUUCAGCAGUGUUGUCAGGGGGAGAAUGGCCCUCCCGGCGUCAGCCAGCGGUAUCAGCUCUGACAAAAGUCACA
Long non-coding RNA from Cololabis saira (Pacific saury), 255 nucleotides. RefSeq lists it as uncharacterized. Lineage: Eukaryota; Metazoa; Chordata; Actinopteri; Beloniformes; Belonidae. The record is from RefSeq and is a predicted model, not a curated record. The transcript is spliced from 3 exons.